AACGAACGCUGGCGGCAUGCCUAACACAUGCAAGUCGAACGAGACCUUCGGGUCUAGUGGCGCACGGGUGCGUAACGCGUGGGAACCUGCCCUUAGGUUCGGAAUAACUCCUCGAAAGGGGUGCUAAUACCGGAUAAUGUCUUCGGACCAAAGAUUUAGCGCCUUUGGAUGGGCUCGCGUUGGAUUAGCUAGUUGGUUAGGUAAAAGCCUACCAAGGCGACGAUCCAUAGCUGGUCUGAGAGGAUGAUCAGUCACACUGGGACUGAGACACGGCCCAGACUCCUACGGGAGGCAGCAGUGGGGAAUAUUGGACAAUGGGCGAAAGCCUGAUCCAGCAAUGCCGCGUGAGUGAUGAAGGACUUAGGGUUGUAAAGCUCUGUUACCCGGGAUGAUAAUGACAGUACCGGAAGAAUAAGCUCCGGCUAACUCCGUG
Molecule: ribosomal RNA, 433 nt
Filed under: uncultured bacterium
Lineage: Bacteria
Description: partial 16S ribosomal RNA
Rfam family: Bacterial small subunit ribosomal RNA
Source: RNAcentral